This 497-nucleotide ribosomal RNA is filed under the name uncultured bacterium. Its description in RNAcentral is "partial 16S ribosomal RNA". It matches the Rfam family "Bacterial small subunit ribosomal RNA", at positions 28 to 507 of the family's 1533-position model. The record is from RNAcentral.
GAUGAACGCUGGCGGCGUGCCUAAUACAUGCAAGUCGAGCGAACAGACGAGGAGCUUGCUCCUCUGACGUUAGCGGCGGACGGGUGAGCAACACGUGGGUAACCUACCUAUAAGACUGGGAUAACUUCGGGAAACCGGAGCUAAUACCGGAUAAUAUAUUGAACCGCAUGGUUCAAUAGUGAAAGACGGUUUUGCUGUCACUUAUAGAUGGAUCCGCGCCGCAUUAGCUAGUUGGUAAGGUAACGGCUUACCAAGGCAACGAUGCGUAGCCGACCUGAGAGGGUGAUCGGCCACACUGGAACUGAGACACGGUCCAGACUCCUACGGGAGGCAGCAGUAGGGAAUCUUCCGCAAUGGGCGAAAGCUUGACGGAGCAACGCCGCGUGAGUGAUGAAGGUCUUCGGAUCGUAAAACUCUGUUAUUAGGGAAGAACAAAUGUGUAAGUAACUAUGCACGUCUUGACGGUACCUAAUCAGAAAGCCACGGCUAACUACGUG